UUUUCCUCUUCUCCCCAAGCCCCCCAGUACAUAGUUGUAUAUUCUAGUUGUGAGUGCCUCUGUUUGUGCUAUGUGGGACGCUGCCUCAGCAUGGCCUGAUGAGCGGUGCCAUGUCCACACUGAGGAUCCAAAUCUGGGAAACCUUGGGCUGCUGAAGCAGAGGACGUGAACUUAACCAUUGGGCCACAGGGCCAGCCCCAGAAUUUGCAUUUUUAACAAGCAUCCAAAAGGCUUGACAUUCAGAAUGUGGCAUCACCUGGGAGCUCAUCAGAGGUGCAGAGGCCCCAUCACAGACCUCCUGAAUCUUAAUCUGCAUCUUAACAGGAUCCCCACACAUUAAAGUUUGAGAAGCACGGUUCUAGAAGAUUCCCUCACAUGCCGAAGUUUGAGAAUCACUGGUCUAGGAAGACUGACGAGUAUAAAGGUGAGUUUGGCACAACGUGAUGAGCGCCUUUACAGAGGAUCAUGUGAGUUGUUCUGGGCAUGCGGAAAGGGAACAGUUUCCUCUGUCGGAGGUUUCCAGGAGGGGUGAUGUCACUUGCUGCUUAAAGAGGAAGGAGAAGUUGGCCAGGCUAAAGGGAUGGGACAGGGGUGAGAGCUUUGGUCAGAGGAAGCCAACGUGUUGAGCAAAAGAGAACAUUGCACGUUUAGGGAACAAGAAAAGUAUCUGAAAUUGCAGUGUUGUUUUUUUGUUUUGAAACUUAUUUAAACUCUGAACAUCAACCAAAGGACAUAUUUUUUAAAAACUCAGUGGUUAAAGAUCUUCUUAUCAAUCUUUAAGGGGCAUGGGGAAUCAGAUUUUUCCAUUCCUAUCAUGCUGCCUUCUUUGGCCUCCCUUGACAACUUUUUUACAUCAUUUCUUCAUUCAUUCAUUCAAACACGUGGACACCGCCGGGCACUGUGCUGUGCGCCUUUUAUGUGGUGGCAAGUGAAACUGAAAUAGUUCCUGCCCUCGCAGAGUUUAUAGCUGAGGCUGGGGUGGGCGUGGAGAAGCCAAUCAACAGGCAAAUGAACAAAUGUGUAAUUAUUAAUUGAGAAAACGGCUAAGAAGUGUGCUACGACGGAGAAUAAAGUGGGGAAGCUUCCAGGCAGGUCUUCCGGUCACACCACCACAUCCUCUCGGAAAGCGGCCGAAGCGACAGGACAUCCUCACUAAGGACCCCGCGGUCGCCCCACGGGCGCGCGCACUUGCCGUUUUGCUGGGAAUCCGAACGCGGGUGAAGCCCUCCCCACAAACGCCCCCUGUCCAGCCGGUGCUACACCGUGAAGGGGCGGUGACCCUUCGCAGCUCAAACCUGAAACGAGGAGCAGCCUCCAGGUUCUGUUAAAACAAGGCGACAGGCCAAGCGAGUCGCCGCGCGAAGCUCGCGUCGCCACACCAGACGUCACUGCGGCGUCGGCUCUCCCACAAGCGGGUCUUAAGCCAGUCAGUCAGGAACGCGCGGGUCGGCGCCCGCGAGGCCAUCGGCCCGACGGGCCUGCGGUCCCCUAGAGCAGGAGACCGUGCCACAGGCCAUCUGCUCCUUGUGGGAACGGCCUGCUCCCGUACGUCGCCGCCGGGCUGUGUCUGCGACGCAGGACGCGGCAGGCCGCCCCGCGCCCUCGCUCUCCCGCUGUCCUCCCAGCCCCCGUCGCAAGGCGCCCUCUCGGCCACUCUCUUGGCCAGGGCAACCGCGAGGUCAGGUCCGGAUUUGUUCCGACCGCCGACCAGCACCCGGGCGUCGCC
This 1726-nucleotide long non-coding RNA is filed under the name Equus asinus (donkey). Its description in RNAcentral is "lncRNA (ENSEASG00005032158.1)". The record is from RNAcentral. Lineage: Eukaryota; Metazoa; Chordata; Mammalia; Perissodactyla; Equidae.